CGGAAGAUUCCCUUACUCCUACGGGAGGCAGCAGUAGGGAAUCUUCCGCAAUGGACGCAAGUCUGACGGAGCAACGCCGCGUGAGUGAUGAAGGUUUUCGGAUCGUAAAGCUCUGUUGCCAGGGAAGAACGCUAUGGAGAGUAACUGUUCCAUAGGUGACGGUACC
Molecule: ribosomal RNA, 166 nt
Filed under: uncultured Paenibacillus sp.
Lineage: Bacteria; Bacillati; Bacillota; Bacilli; Caryophanales; Paenibacillaceae
Description: partial 16S ribosomal RNA
Rfam family: Bacterial small subunit ribosomal RNA
Source: RNAcentral